CCCUUAGACGUUCUGGGCCGCACGCGCGCUACACUGACCAGUGCAACAAGCAUCCGUCCUUGGCCGACAGGCCCGGGCAAUCUUUGAACGCUGGUCGUGAUGGGGAUAGACUUUUGCAAUUUUUGGUCUUCAACGAGGAAUGCCUAGUAAGCGCAAGUCAUCAGCUUGCGUUGAUUACGUCCCUGCCCUUUGUACACACCGCCCGUCGCUCCUACCGAUUGAAUGGUCCGGUGAAGCGCUCGGACCGCGGCCUCUUGACGGUUCGCUGUCGAUUGGCUGUGGGAAGUUCGUUAAACCUUAUCAUUUAGAGGAAGGAGAAGUCGUAACA
Molecule: ribosomal RNA, 328 nt
Filed under: uncultured eukaryote
Lineage: Eukaryota
Description: partial 18S ribosomal RNA
Rfam family: Eukaryotic small subunit ribosomal RNA
Source: RNAcentral